UACAGAGGGGGCAAGCGUUAUUCGGAAUUAUUGGGCGUAAAGGGCGCGUAGGCGGCCUGGCAAGUGGAUGGUGAAAUCCCUCGGCUUAACCGAGGAACUGCCAUCCAGACUGCUUGGCUUGAGACCAGGAGAGGUGAGUGGAAUUCCCAGUGUAGCGGUGAAAUGCGUAGAUAUUGGGAGGAACACCAGUGGCGAAGGCGGCUCACUGGACCGGUACUGACGCUGAGGCGCGAAAGCGUGGGGAGCAAACGGG
RNAcentral lists this ribosomal RNA (253 nucleotides) under uncultured bacterium. Its description in RNAcentral is "partial 16S ribosomal RNA". It matches the Rfam family "Bacterial small subunit ribosomal RNA", at positions 524 to 776 of the family's 1533-position model. The record is from RNAcentral.